GACGAACGCUGGCGGCGUGCUUAACACAUGCAAGUCGAACGGAAAGGCCCUGCUUGCAGGGUACUCGAGUGGCGAACGGGUGAGUAACACGUGGGUGAUCUGCCCUGCACUUCGGGAUAAGCCUGGGAAACUGGGUCUAAUACCGGAUAGGAGCCAUUUUUAGUGUGAUGGUUGGAAAGUUUUUUCGGUGUAGGAUGAGCUCGCGGCCUAUCAGCUUGUUGGUGGGGUAAUGGCCUACCAAGGCGGCGACGGGUAGCCGGCCUGAGAGGGUGGACGGCCACAUUAGGACUGAGAGACGGCCCAGACUCCGACGGGAGGCAGCAGUGGGGAAGAUUGCACAAGGGGCGCAAGCCUGAUGCAGCGACGCCGCGUGGGGGAUGACGGCCUUCGGGUUGUAAACUCCUUUCGCUAGGGACGAAGCUUUUUGUGACGGUACCUAGAUAAGAAGCACCGGCUAACUACGUG
This 465-nucleotide ribosomal RNA is filed under the name uncultured bacterium. Its description in RNAcentral is "partial 16S ribosomal RNA". It matches the Rfam family "Bacterial small subunit ribosomal RNA", at positions 28 to 507 of the family's 1533-position model. The record is from RNAcentral.